RNAcentral lists this small RNA (635 nucleotides) under Pan troglodytes (chimpanzee). Its description in RNAcentral is "retained intron". Lineage: Eukaryota; Metazoa; Chordata; Mammalia; Primates; Hominidae. The record is from RNAcentral.
CCAAGAGGCGCCUCAAUGUCCUUUUAAAGAAGCAAGAAGAGAGCCAGUUUCACCCUCUGGAGUGGUUGGCAAGGGAAGCCUGCAACCAGGACGCUCUCCAGGAGGCGGGCACAUUCAGGCACACCCUCUGGAAGCGGGUCCAAGGUGCUGUCACCCCUCUGCUGGCGAGCAUGAUAUCAUUCAUCGACACAGACGGCAACCUAGAGUUACUGACCAGGCCAGAUACUCCGCCCUGGGCAAGAGAUCUUUGGAUGUUUAUUUUCAGUGACACGAUGCUUCUGAACAUUCCUCUUGUGAUGAAUAAUGAAAGACAUAAAGGUGAGAUGGCCUACAUCGUGGUGCAGAACUACAUGAACCUUUCCGAGAACGCUUCCAACAAUGUCCCUUUCAGCUGGAGAAUCAAGGACUAUCUGGAGGAGCUGUGGGCCCAGGCUCAGUACAUCACGGACGCAGAAGGUGAGGCCACCUCAAGGCAGGUCAGAUUCAGCACAGGUGAAUCACAAAGGGAUUGCCUGGCAGUGAAAAGCAGAUGGGUGGCUAGAAUUGCAAGGUGAAUUUUGGAGUUUUUAGUUUUCACACUUUGUGCAGUAAGCGUCCAAUUGACGUCACCGCGUCAUUUUAAAGUUUCUGCUGAA